UUUAAUCUUCAGGGCAGGGUGAAAUUCCCGAUCGGUGGUAAAGUCCGCGAGCCGAACUUCGAUUAACAUCAAGUUUAGCAGGAACUAGUGAAAUUCUAGUACCGACAGUAUAGUCUGGAUGGAAGAAGAGCAGA
RNAcentral lists this non-coding RNA (134 nucleotides) under Pseudactinobacillus ducreyi. Its description in RNAcentral is "Haemophilus ducreyi FMN sequence". It matches the Rfam family "FMN riboswitch aptamer (RFN element)". From Rfam's summary of the family: The RFN element is a highly conserved domain that is found frequently in the 5'-untranslated regions of prokaryotic mRNAs that encode for flavin mononucleotide (FMN) biosynthesis and transport proteins. RNAcentral also lists the same sequence under 1 other name. Lineage: Bacteria; Pseudomonadati; Pseudomonadota; Gammaproteobacteria; Pasteurellales; Pasteurellaceae. The record is from RNAcentral.